This is a long non-coding RNA of Alligator sinensis (Chinese alligator), 569 nucleotides long. RefSeq lists it as uncharacterized. The transcript has 3 exons. NCBI's taxonomy places the organism in Eukaryota, Metazoa, Chordata, Crocodylia, Alligatoridae. The record is from RefSeq and is a predicted model, not a curated record.
CCAGGGAGCAGGUAACCUGUCAAAGGGCGGGGAUACCCAUGUGGCCUUUGACAGCUUGCCAAAACUGGGUAAGUGGUCCUCCACCCAAAAUAAUUGCCUGCCCCUAUUCAAGACUAAUUUCAUCCCUAGGGAGGUCAGAUAAGAUGCAGCCACAGGGAUGCUGAUAUUCCUUUUGAUAUCCCUCAGUUCUCCAUCACAGUCUUGCUAUACCUGUAGGAUCUCCUCCACUGAAAACCCAAUUCUCUCCUCCUGGCAGUGGGGAUGUCAGCUGAUGUCCUUCUCCAAGCAAUCAUCACUAAUGGUGUUAGAAGUGGUGAAUGAGACAGAACCUGAAGGAAUUUGAGAUUCUAAUGGAAUAAGAAGUUGGAAUCUGAGAGCAAGUGGAGCAACACUGCUGUGUGGAAGGACAAGGACCACUACUGCAAUUUUCCCCUGAAGAAAGGAAGAGAAGAAGGAGGUAACCUCAUAUGACUCAUACUGGCUCCAUCUCUUGGGGUACCACUGGAAGAUGUGCAGGCACGAUGAUGAGAAUGGUAUAAGAACGUGUGUAGAAUAAACAAGACUAGGAC